This 357-nucleotide long non-coding RNA is filed under the name Pan troglodytes (chimpanzee). RNAcentral's name for it is "long non-coding RNA NONPTRT016517". Lineage: Eukaryota; Metazoa; Chordata; Mammalia; Primates; Hominidae. The record is from RNAcentral.
GGGUGCUCCUACUUCCAUUUCCCCGGCCUACAGGCGCUGCCCUUUGACCCUGGAAGGGCUUUGGAGAGAGGGUCCUGCUGGGGCCAGGGCCGCGUUGCUAAGGAGACGAGGGCGUUUCAUGUGAACACGUUAACAAGCUGCUUAUCUAAAGAUGGCAUCAAACGGAUAUCUUUUGUUUCCCUCAUCACUUUACCGAAGGACGAUACCAGACUCUGCGCUCGUCUCCUUUCAUGUUUUUCUUCCGUUCUGCCUCUCCUCGCGUGUCUCUGCCAGCGCACAUGCACACACCUGCUGCUGUUCUCCUUAGCAGAUCCCACCCCUAACAUUCUGUGCCAAGAUUCACACCUUAGAAAAUGC